This is a long non-coding RNA of Populus euphratica (Euphrates poplar), 385 nucleotides long. RefSeq lists it as uncharacterized. The transcript is spliced from 2 exons. Lineage: Eukaryota; Viridiplantae; Streptophyta; Magnoliopsida; Malpighiales; Salicaceae. The record is from RefSeq and is a predicted model, not a curated record.
UCGACUCACACCACUUAAAAUCCCUUGGAGUAGCAAAACCCUGAAUUUUGCUACUCUUCUUUUCUUGGCAGCCGAAACGCAAAACACAAACUCAUAUACAAAGAAGAGCCAGCCGCAACCUUCAUAAAUUCACCACCACAGCUUCUCCGUCGGCUUGUCACUGCUCCACACUACUAAUCCAUACACAAAGAGAAGAGAAAGCCAUACACCAAGCUAAAAAAAGCCGCCUUCUUGUAAGUGGGGAUAUAACAGAUGGGUGUUGAGUUAACCCAUCAAUAUACAGAAUAUAUAGCAAUGGAGGAUCAAGAGGAGGUGGAGGAAGGUGUUAGUAUUACUGAUUGGGAUUUAGUUUAUCAUGUUAGAGAUGCCCUUUUAUCUGUUAAAA